RNAcentral lists this ribosomal RNA (207 nucleotides) under uncultured bacterium. Its description in RNAcentral is "partial 16S ribosomal RNA". It matches the Rfam family "Bacterial small subunit ribosomal RNA", at positions 568 to 774 of the family's 1533-position model. The record is from RNAcentral.
CGUGUAGGCGGCCAAGCAGGUCCGUUGUGAAAACUGGAGGCUUAACCUCCAGACGUCGACGGAAACCGCGCGGCUAGAGUCCGGAAGAGGAGAGUGGAAUUCCUGGUGUAGCGGUGAAAUGCGCAGAUAUCAGGAAGAACACCAAUGGCGGAGGCAGCUCUCUGGGACGGUACUGACGCUGAGACGCGAAAGCGUGGGGAGCGAACA